This 63-nucleotide microRNA precursor is filed under the name Drosophila yakuba. RNAcentral describes it as "Dya-Mir-9-P13_pre stem-loop". Lineage: Eukaryota; Metazoa; Arthropoda; Insecta; Diptera; Drosophilidae. The record is from RNAcentral.
UCUUUGGUGAUUUUAGCUGUAUGGUGUGUUUAUGUGUUCCAUAGAGCUUUAUUACCAAAAACC